RNAcentral lists this transfer RNA (72 nucleotides) under Coprinellus micaceus. It matches the Rfam family "tRNA". Rfam says of the family: Transfer RNA (tRNA) molecules are approximately 80 nucleotides in length. Their secondary structure includes four short double-helical elements and three loops (D, anti-codon, and T loops). RNAcentral also lists the same sequence under 1 other name. Lineage: Eukaryota; Fungi; Basidiomycota; Agaricomycetes; Agaricales; Psathyrellaceae. The record is from Rfam by way of RNAcentral.
GGCCGUCUGGCGAAAUGGCAUCGCGUCUGACUACGAAUCAGGAGAUUGCAGGUUCGACCCCUGCGAUGGUCA